GGCGGACGGGUGAGUAACACGUGGGAAUCUGCCCAUUAGUGGGGGAUAACUCGGGGAAACUCGAGCUAAUACCGCAUAAUCCCUACGGGGGAAAGCAGGGGAUCUUCGGACCUUGCGCUGAUGGAUGAGCCCGCGUCGGAUUAGCUUGUUGGUGGGGUAAUGGCCCACCAAGGCGACGAUCCGUAACUGGUCUGAGAGGAUGGCCAGUCACACCGGGACUGAGACACGGCCCGGACUCCUACGGGAGGCAGCAGUGGGGAAUCUUGGACAAUGGGCGCAAGCCUGAUCCAGCCAUGCCGCGUGUGUGAAGAAGGCCUUCGGGUUGUAAAGCACUUUCAGUAGGGAGGAAGGCUUUGGGCUAAUACCCUGGAGUACUUGACGUUACCUACAGAAGAAGCACCGGCUAAUUUCGUGCCAGCAGCCGCGGUAAUACGAAAGGUGCGAGCGUUAAUCGGAAUUACUGGGCGUAAAGCGCGCGUAGGCGGUGUGUUAAGUCGGAUGUGAAAGCCCAGGGCUCAACCUUGGAAUUGCAUCCGAUACUGGCACGCUAGAGUGCAGUAGAGGGAGGUGGAAUUUCCGGUGUAGCGGUGAAAUGCGUAGAGAUCGGAAGGAACACCAGUGGCGAAGGGCGCCCCCGGGG
This 640-nucleotide ribosomal RNA is filed under the name uncultured bacterium. Its description in RNAcentral is "bacterial SSU rRNA". It matches the Rfam family "Bacterial small subunit ribosomal RNA", at positions 97 to 733 of the family's 1533-position model. The record is from RNAcentral.